Molecule: unclassified non-coding RNA, 289 nt
Filed under: plant metagenome
Description: partial contains small subunit ribosomal RNA, internal transcribed spacer 1, and 5.8S ribosomal RNA
Rfam family: Eukaryotic small subunit ribosomal RNA (bases 1-54)
Source: RNAcentral
GGAAGUAAAAGUCGUGACAAGGUUUCCGUAGGUGAACCUGCGGAAGGAUCAUUAUCGUACAAAAUGUGAGGGGCAUGCGAGGGCUGUCGCUGACCCAAAAGUCGUGCACGCCCGAGUGUGUCCUCUUGCAUAAUAAUCCAUCUCACCCUUAGUGCAUCACCGCGUGGGCACCCUUCGGGAUCAUCUCGGAGGGGGGCUCGCGUUUUCACACAAACCCCCCUUUUAAAAGUGUAGAAUGACCACAUUUAUGCAAUCAAUACAACUUUCAACAACGGAUCUCUUGGCUCUC